AUAUAUAGUUUGGGGAGUAUAAGAGUACUUAAAAACUAAAGGAUAUGGCGGUAUUUUAUUUUAUCAGGGGAACUUGUACCUUAAUUUGAUAAUCCACGUUUCUAUAGUCUAGUUUUGAAACAUCAGUUUGUGUACUGCCGUAUUAUAUACUUUAAGAAUUCAGUUUAUAAAAUUUAUUUUAUAAAUUAAAUCAGGUCAAAGUGCAGCUUAUAAUUAGAUGAAGUAUGAGUUACAUUUAUUUAAGAUUCGGGUUAAUUAAACUUGAAGGAUUUGAUAGUAAUUAUGUAUACAUAUGUAUAAUGAAUUUUAUUCUAAAAUAUG
This 321-nucleotide ribosomal RNA is filed under the name Oxyptychus braziliensis. RNAcentral describes it as "partial 12S ribosomal RNA". The record is from RNAcentral. Lineage: Eukaryota; Metazoa; Annelida; Clitellata; Hirudinida; Hirudinidae.